Long non-coding RNA from Brassica oleracea var. oleracea, 1869 nucleotides. RefSeq lists it as uncharacterized. Lineage: Eukaryota; Viridiplantae; Streptophyta; Magnoliopsida; Brassicales; Brassicaceae. The transcript is spliced from 5 exons. The record is from RefSeq and is a predicted model, not a curated record.
UCUUUUUUUCUUUUUGAAAGAUUCAUCGUUUCAUCUUUCUCAACGGUUCGUCGAUCAAUCGACACACUACUCCAUAAUUGAUCAAUGAAUCCUCCAGAAAUCCCAUUUAUGUCUUCCUUUCACCUUCCUUCCUCUCAAUUUCUAUAACAUUCCUCCCAAUGGAUAGUAAUCCACCAGAAAGUCUUCCGUAGCCACUGGCAAUGCCGAAUUUCUAGAUCGAACGAACACACAUGCCUUUCAUAUGUUCAUGUCUGCCUUUCUUCAGGUUCCAACUCCCUUUUUCACAAUAUAUAAACAUAUCCUCUGAUUCUAUGCUCCACCAUCAUACACGACAAAUACAUCACGGCGAGAGAGGCAUGCUUAUUGGGUUAGAACUACUUUCGUGGACAAGCAGUGAUGUAUCUGCAGGCUUGGUAGAAGCGGAGCUGCGUUACCAGUGAAUCCAUUUCGGUCAAACAACAGUCUCUGAAGCGGGUCGAAUAAUGGUAUGUAUAUCCAUUAUGUUACUCUCCUCUCCUCAUAGCUGAACCGUCUAUUUCUGCAAUGUUUGUUUCUUUCUUAUUUUUGCUUUGUGGGUUAUUCUUCCGAUGAUCUGAAAUCUGAAAAGUUUCAAGAUUUGCGAUGAAAUCUUCUCACUGACUUUAUAAGUUUAUUUGGUUGCAUUUCAGUUCACUUACACUCAAACCUGGUAAAAUAACUUCUUUCUCUUUAGUUGUAAUUGAUCAAAAUUGUUUAGUUACAAACAUCGGAUGCUCAACUUUGUGUUCGAAACUGUAACUUUUCUGAAAAUAUUGUUAUGUAAAAGUCAAAAGAUUGCAUUUUUAUGUUCCUUGAUAAGAAUAGAAGCCUUAAAAUGGCUAUUGAUCCCAUAAUGUUUAGUUAAGCUUUGUGACAGUGACUGUUCAAUCGCUAACUUUUGUCACCAUGUGUCUCUGUUGGUAACAUCUGAUGGAAAUCCUCGGAAGAUAGCUACAAGGUUACUUGAUCCUUUUCUUGCUCACUUGAAGACAACACAAGAUUAAGUUGCUAAAGGUGGCUACUCAUUUGUUCUCAAGCUUGAGGAUAGUGACGGUUUUGACAACGGUUACAUUCACUGAUAUCCUCCCGUAGACAAAAGCCAUCGUCUCUUUCAAAGUCCCUGACAACAGUUCUGGCAAGGUUUAAAAAAUAAUAGUAAUAACCCUUUUGUGUAUGCAUUUCAGUGGUUUUGAGAUUGAUACCAUCAACUUAUGAAAUCUGUUAACAACUUGAGGUCCAGUACUUCCAUGACCAUGCAGCAGUCUCCGUACCGCAGCUUUGAAGAAGAACCCAUUGAUCGAUGUAACAGCCACUCUAGAUACACCAGUCAUUUGGUGCUGACGCUGGAUACGACACAUCCUCCAAAACUUUCACCAAGUACAAUGCUAGAAACGUUACAAAGUACACUGAAUCAUUAUUCUCCACUCCUCACGCAAUCCAUCAUUGAAUGCAUAUACCAUUACUUCAUUUCUCUGAAUCCUGGAGAUUACCUCAACUAUAAAAAGGAACCAAAAGAGAAUAACCUUCGUCAAAAUACUUUGGCACUGUAUUGUCUACAUGAGAUAACAAUGCUAGCAGAGCAAGUAACACAGGCUCUUAUGAAUCCCCUGAAGCUGCGGAAACAUGAUCAGAGGUGUGAUUCCUUGCUUCGGUUUUUUUCUUCGGUUUCUUCAAUUUAGUGUCCACGCAACUCUUUGUUCUCUGGUUAAUUUCUAUACACAUUGCCACCAUUGAUUCCAGAUUAUAAUAAUUCAUUGUGUUUUGGAGUUCCUGCUGUAGAUAUAUGUCUAAGCCAUUCCUCAUGUUUCAAUGUUUGAUAUAUUGUUAUAACUGAAAGUCAACUGGUACAAA